RNAcentral lists this long non-coding RNA (213 nucleotides) under Setaria viridis. RNAcentral's name for it is "long non-coding RNA (SVIR_LNC004065)". The record is from RNAcentral. Lineage: Eukaryota; Viridiplantae; Streptophyta; Magnoliopsida; Poales; Poaceae.
AGAGAGAGAUGAGAUAGAAUUGUAUGUAUUCAUUACCGACCUAUACGGAAAGAAAUGAUAGGUGGUAGAGUGAAGUUUUUAAGUAAAUAAUAUUAUGUUGAAUGGCAGUAUAGAUACUUUUUAUAGAAAUCAGGAGUGCCCUAAUAUUCAAGAGAUUAAGGUUGGUAUGAAGGAGACAAACAUGCGGUUCUAUUGUUCAAAAUUCGAGCGGGC